UACGUAGGGUGCGAGCGUUAAUCGGAAUUACUGGGCGUAAAGCGUGCGCAGGCGGUUUUGUAAGCCAGAUGUGAAAUCCCCGGGCUUAACCUGGGAAUGGCAUUUGGGACUGCAAGGCUAGAGUGUGGCAGAGGAGACUGGAACUCCUGGUGUAGCAGUGAAAUGCGUAGAUAUCAGGAGGAAUACCGAUGGCGAAGGCAGGUCUCUGGGCUAACACUGACGCUCAUGCACGAAAGCGUGGGGAGCAAACAGG
This 253-nucleotide ribosomal RNA is filed under the name uncultured bacterium. RNAcentral describes it as "partial 16S ribosomal RNA". It matches the Rfam family "Bacterial small subunit ribosomal RNA", at positions 524 to 776 of the family's 1533-position model. The record is from RNAcentral.